UGUGUGCGUGCGUGUGCGCCUGUGUGUGUGUGUGCGCGCGGGCGCGCGCACGUGAGGAAAGAGGGAGGGAAAGAGAAUGAGAAUGAAGAGGACAGGGAGAGCGCAGAGAGGAAAACUGCAGAAAACCACAGGGAAAGUACGGUACAGCCUCAGAUUUUUAAUUUAAAAAAAAAAACUUGCUUCUAGUUCAUUUCCCCAUCACUCCCGGCUCCUGCCUAACGAGGUCGUGUCGGGGACGUUUGGCAUGGCGCUCUUGCUUUUGUUCCUUUUAAUUCCGCGGGCCCCCUACUCCUCUGCCAGCCGAUUAUCGCGCCCCGAAGGCUUUCUGCUAACACCCAGAGGCAGCAGGAUCUGCAGACCGUACCAACGCCCGGCUAGAGUUUUGUUUUUGUUUUUGUUUUUUUAAGUGGUACUUUCUUCCCUGUGCAGAUCCAGGACCCUUGUCAACAUUCAUUUUUUUCUAGGACAAGAAGAGACCAGCUUAACUCAGAGAGCACUCCCUUCAAGCUUUGCGGACAAGGGCCACCCUGGAGAGUCUUUGGGGCCCGCGGUGGAAUCAUGAGGGAGGAAUGGGAGGGAGUCGUUUGGAUGUUUGAUGUUGUCUGAUGUUGCCAAAGUGUGUGUGUGUGUGUGUACACGCGCGCGCGACUGGUGUGCGACUCCAAAGUGGAUCUCACUUAGAGCUGGGAAGCAUGGCGGGGGGGAGAGAGAGAAUGCAUAGCGAGAGAGAAUGCUUAGCAAGGAGGAUUGGCCGGCACUCCCUGCCCAGCUUUGUUGUGGUCGACGGGGGCGCAGAGGCCAGGCAGCGGUAUCGCCGGCUAAUGGCUGUGUUAGUUACACCGGGCAAUUUCAGGGUAUCAGGAAGAUGGGGCCGACUCCGAAUGAACUUUUCCAAAAAGGAAAAGGAGGAGAGUGGAGGGAAAGACGGUAACUAUCCCACAUGGUUUGCGUAGAAAGUAGUUCUAGCCGAAGCCUCGCCGAAUCCCUGGCUGGAGCUGCACCCUGCCUCACCUCCGCGCCGCGGGUAUCACGGCGGCCGCGCGUCAAUCACUCCGAGCCGCGAGCUGGGGGCGGAGCUACGGUCUCCCGGCGCGCUCAGCUCUGCAGCCCCCGCCGCCCCCUGGCUCCCGGCAGCCCAGCAGCCGGGGCCUGCGCUCCGAGCGCUCCCUCUCCCCAACUCCUGGCUCUCGCCCUGGUUCAUGGUCCCCGGCCCAGAGAAUUGAAAACAGAUUGUUCCUCAACAGCCGCCUCCUUCUCCAACUUUGAACCCAUUCUGGAGAGUAGAAAGUAGCGAAUCCUCUGCGCGUGGCUUUGACCCGACUUCCCGGGAGAUUGGGGGGGGGCGCUCAAGGAGAAUAAAAUACUCUGUGUGUGUUUGUGAGGGAGAGAGGGAGAGAGAGAGAAGGGAGUUGUGGGGAGAGAGAAUGAGAAUAAGAGGGAGAAGGCGAGAAGGCGGAUAGGCUUUUUUUUUUUUUCCUUCUCCCUUUUCAUCUCUGCUUCACUGUUAGCUUUCGGGCAACUCUCAACUGGGCUUAGAUCGUAGCCUGCAGAGACUCCAAGCGGAGUCGGAGAAAUUUGGCCCCGUUUUAAUAGGGCUGGGGAAUGAGCUCCGGAGGUCAAUAAAGCCCUCCAAAAAUGAUGAAUGAUUGAGCACCUGUGAUGAUGAUAGUGAUUACCAGAGCAAUUAAACAGUUUGAUUAAAUGAGCCAUCAUAACAAUGAUGUCUGCGGGAAAUCGGCCCUUACAUAUAAAGAAAGAUAGUGCGGAGGGGCUUGCAGAGGCGAGUGUAGCGCGACGUCAGGGAGAGGGGCCGCGGACCGCGCGGUAUUUGCCGGGGUGGCCGGAGCAAGGACUGCCGGGCGCGCGGAGCUUCGGGGAGGAGAGUCUAGCCCAGGCUAGACUUUUCAGCCACUCUUAAGCCGGGCUUCAAGCCUGCAAGAGCCGACUGGUAUGAAACCUGCAGGUUGGGGGGGAGGGUCCUUCCCCUUCCACCUCCUCAUUUUUUUUCCCCAGAAGAACUCCAAGAUUAAAAGCAUCCUUAUUUGUUGCUGAGUUGUUCGUCGACGUAUAAGAAAAGGAUUCCCUCCAAGACUGAUAGGAAAGACAGGGCCACUUCUGGACUAUCUGUGAGGAUGUGUUUCUUUCUGUAACACUGAAGCACUUUUUAUAAACCUUUUAAUGUAUUUAAAUAAAUCUAUUUGGACAUUAAGAGAAGCCAUACAUACAAAGAUAGUUUGGCUUUAUGCCGGCAAUCCCAACAUUAGAAAAAAAAAUUCACAAUCCAAUGAGAAGCUUUUCCAUACCCAACCUUGGUCAAAAAAAAAAAAAAAGAAAAAGAAAAAGGAAAGCAAAAGAAAGUUUUCUGCGUGCAUCUGCAUGUCUUCGUGUGCACGAUUAUAAACAUCCCCCAGUCCUUGUUUGCCUGUUACCUCCCUCCUGCCAUACACUCGAAGGCAGAGGCAUCGAGGGAUGGCCCCCAGAGAUCUGUGUUUACUCAGAUUUUUAAAAAAAAUCUCUCCACCAUGUAUGACAAGUGUUACUUCAAGAAAUUCAUCAGUCUUCUAUAGAUACUUCCAGUUUUACUGUAAUGAUCUGCAGAAGAGAACUGCCAUCACUUUCUCACAUCCCAAGGUGUUGUAGGAACUCACAGAAAGGGGAGAGUGGCUGAAACGCUUAAUUACAGUGGUGGAGCGGGGGCACGAGGUGGGACCGAGGGAGGGAGAGUGAGGAAGGUCUUUACCUGGCCAGUACCUGUAGAAAGCUGUGAAACCUCACGGCGAAUAUUUGGGAAAGGUAGGGUUGCCUUUUUUUUUUUGUAAUGCCUUUGGGGAGAAGUGAUACACUUGUGUAACAAUUAGCUCAGACAAUAAAAAUAAUUGGAAAAUCA
Orcinus orca (killer whale) is the source of this 2887-nucleotide long non-coding RNA. RefSeq lists it as uncharacterized. The record is from RefSeq and is a predicted model, not a curated record. The transcript has 2 exons. NCBI's taxonomy places the organism in Eukaryota, Metazoa, Chordata, Mammalia, Artiodactyla, Delphinidae.